GUAGGUGGCAAGCGUUGUCCGGAAUUAUUGGGCGUAAAGCGCGCGCAGGCGGUUCUUUAAGUCUGAUGUGAAAGCCCACGGCUCAACCGUGGAGGGUCAUUGGAAACUGGAGAACUUGAGUACAGAAGAGGAAAGCGGAAUUCCACGUGUAGCGGUGAAAUGCGUAGAGACGUGGAGGAACACCAGUGGCGAAGGCGGCUUUCUGGUCUGUAACUGACGCUGAGGCGCGAAAGCGUGGGGAGCAAACAGGGAUUAGAUACCCUGGUAGUCCACGCCGUAAACGAUGAGUGCUAAGUGUUAGGGGGUUUCCGCCCCCUUAGUGCUGCAGCUAACGCAUUAAGCACUCCGCCUGGGGAGUACGGCCGCAAGGCUG
This 373-nucleotide ribosomal RNA is filed under the name uncultured organism. RNAcentral describes it as "partial 16S ribosomal RNA". It matches the Rfam family "Bacterial small subunit ribosomal RNA", at positions 527 to 896 of the family's 1533-position model. The record is from RNAcentral.